This 479-nucleotide ribosomal RNA is filed under the name uncultured bacterium. Its description in RNAcentral is "partial 16S ribosomal RNA". It matches the Rfam family "Bacterial small subunit ribosomal RNA", at positions 28 to 523 of the family's 1533-position model. The record is from RNAcentral.
GGCGAACGCUGGCGGCGUGCUUAACACAUGCAAGUCGAACGGUAAGGCCCUUCGGGGUACACGAGUGGCGAACGGGUGAGUAACACGUGGGUGAUCUGCCCUGCACUUCGGGAUAAGCCUGGGAAACUGGGUCUAAUACCGGAUAGGACCACUGCCUGCAUGGGUGGUGGUGGAAAGGUUUUGCGGUGUGGGAUGGGCCCGCGGCCUAUCAGCUUGUUGGUGGGGUGAUGGCCUACCAAGGCGACGACGGGUAGCCGGCGCUGAGAGGGUGCCCGGCCACACUGGGACUGAGAUACGGCCCAGACUCCUACGGGAGGUAGCAGUGGGGAAUAUUGCACAAUGGGCGCAAGCCUGAUGCAGCGACGCCGCGUGAGGGAUGACGGCCUUCGGGUUGUAAACCUCUUUCAGCACCGACGAAGCGCAAGUGACGGUAGGUGCAGAAGAAGGACCGGCCAACUACGUGCCAGCCGCCGCCGUAA